ACAAAAAUCAACACACCAUUGCUGCUUGACUUUAUUUAGCUUGAGGAUGUUGUUUACCGAAAUGACACCAAAGAAAAGUGAAUAUAGUGAAGGUUAGCAAAGGGAAAGUUUAUUGAGGGGGAUUGUCUUUCACACACAAAAAUCAACACACCAUUGCUGCUUGACUUUAUUUAAAUCUCUUCCUCAUUACAAAGUUGCCAGCAAGUCUAAGGAAGUACAGGUAAUCAGGUAAAAUAAAGAAAGGAUUCUCUUUCCCGCCGCUGCCAGAGGGCGAGGCCGACAGCCGCCAAACAGUGUACAAUACGCGACAGAGAGAGGAACAGAAACAAAGCUUGGUUCCCAUUGGUCGUUGUGAGUGAAUGCUGAGUUGUGAUUGGCUGGAUCCGCCCGCCCCCUGAGAGCCGCGGGACUUUCGAACACACAAACACGCGCCUCUCCGAACUGCUUACACGCUACCUACCGACACUUUGGGCUACUUAUUUCAUUCAUUGCCGCUUCCUAUUCAUGGUGUUUUUUUCUCCCGUUUGAUAGUUCUUUUUAGUUAGUGUUUUUUGACGCCUCAUGUGCUGUGCGAAUAAAUAAUAACCCUAAUAAUUUAUGUCCAACGCCUAAUGAAAUGUGGAAAAAAACAGGGUUAGUACAUAUUUCAUGGCUAUUUCUACACUUGUUUUGAUCUCUAUACUCUUUCUUCUGGUUUUACUAAAGGCUUGAAGAUUACUUAAAACUCUAUAUGAGGACAGAAGAGCAGUUGGUUAAGUAGGAAACGAAAUAUCUGCUUGUUAAUAAAUAAUACCAAUCUAUAACCUAAUUGUCGUGGUUAUAUUAUGGUUAUUAUCAAUUUGCACAACAACUAAAGUCUCAAAACACUCUAAUGAACUAAAAAAAUAUAUAAAAUGGAAGAAGAAAAAACAAAAAACAGGAAGCGGCAGUAGAGGAAAUACCUACCCAUUUUUUUAUUAACUUUUUUUUUAUUUAUUUUCCUGAUUUCUCCUUAUUGCAUUAUGUUGACGCCCACAUCAUCAUUAACCUUACACAUGUUUUUUUUGGCUUACUAUAUUAUUAUGAUUAUUAUUUAAUGACUCCUCCUCUUAACAUUCUCAUUAAUAAUCAACGAACGACGAACGAAGAAUAAUAAUUACAUUUUGUUUUUUUACACCACAAUGUUACCAAAAAAAAAAAAAAAAAAAAGGGAACAAGGGAUAAUUUGGGGACUUGUUUAAUUCACACCUUGAUAGAUUUGCAUGAUGCCUCCCUCCCUCUCUCCUUUUCUCUUUUUCCCCUUCCUUUCCUCCUCCUUUUCCUCCAUUAUUAUUUUUUAGGAGGGAGGAAAAAAAAAAUAUACCACACACCACACACACACUCGCAACAAACACAUACACAAACAGACACUGAGGUAAUCCAAGUAGUUUUUUUUCAUCGCAUUUUUUCCUCCAUAACACAAAAAAAAGGUCUUGAGCAGUAACAAUAUUUAUAUAACCUUCCCGUCCUUAUUAUUUUCUUUUUCAAGGGUUUACGUAACAACAUUUUAAGCGUACAUACAUACAUACAUACAUACAACGUUUUAAACUUACAUCCAUCCAUUCAUACAUAUAUACUUCCAUUCAUACAUACAUACAUACAUACAUACAACGUUUUAAGCUUACAUCCAUCCAUUCAUACAUAUAUACUUCCAUCCAUACAUACAUACAUACGUGCAUACAUACAUAGCAAGUUUGGGUUUUUGUCAUAUAUAGCUAAUCAUAACAUAAUACAUAAUCAUACAUAGCAUCACACAAAUCAUACAUAAUCAUACAAAAAUACAUAACGAAGGGGAAUAAUGUUAAUAAAAAAAAACAAUCUGAGAGCGUAAUCAGAGUGAGCUGGUGAGAGUGAAAGAGUACUGAUGCUAUUUUGGUUAGGCUAUACCUGUUAAUCUUUUUUAUUUUUUUUUAUUUACCUCUGUUUCCAGUUACUACCUUCUCUAUUCUAUUUUCUGUUAUCCAUUACCUUUUUCACAUCUUCAUUUUCAGUCGUAUUUUUUUCACCUUUUCGGAUCAUCUCUUUUUUUUAAUUCUUUUUCAUUUAUUUCACUUCUUCUAUUCCACUUAUCUUUCUUAUCUCUCCUUUUCCUAUUGCCUUAUUCACCUCUUCUCUCUUCCAGUCACCCUUUUCACCUCUUUUUCCAGUUAUUUUUGUCACCUUGUCCAGUCAUCUUUUUCACAAUGGAUAGUUUUCUCUUGGAUACGUUGAAAACAAAAAUGGGAGUGAAUCAUGUGAGGUGGUAAUGAGUCUUCUUUCUGUCUUUCAUUCUCACCUGUUCUUUCUCUCUCUCUCUUCACACCUGACCUGCUCCUCCUUCCUUUUCCCGUUCCUGUUCCCGACGUGUGUGUGUGUGUGUGUGUGUGUGUGGAUGACGUGAGUUUACAAGAGACGUGUGAUGGAUGAGAUGAUGUAUGGGAAUUUUUGGAUUGGGUAUGUUAUUGUUUUUUUGAUUUAUUAUUGUUUUGAGUUAAUUUGGGUCAUACUUUCUGUGAUUCAUUAAGGGAAACACAAUCAUUUUUAGCCAGUCAUUGUGGUCCAUGAUUUUUUUUAACUCAUUACGAAUUUUUUAAUGUUUAGUGAUACCUUUUUCUUAUAUCGCUUUAAGUCUUUUACUGUUCGAUAUUUUUUGGUUUGAUGUUCUUUGUGUUAUUUUAUUUUAUUUCCCGGGUAUAAUUUUUGCUUGUUCGUUUGUCUGGCUUGUGUUUGGACGGGAGGGAACUGGUGGCAUCAUGCAGAUCAGGUCACGGAGGUCAAGGAAAAAAAAAAAAAGGUCAAAGUACUGCCACGGGGACUGACUGACUGACUAACUGAAUGACUGAUUGAUUGAACAUGCGAGCGAAUAUUAGCUACCUUGCCUCAACACACACACACACACACACACACACACGCAUAAACCGGAAUAAAAAAGACAAAAAGAGUUGAAUCCUGCUAUCGUAAACUUAUAAGAUAUAUACACGGUAACGACACACUUCCAUCACCCACGAAACACAGCGAAGAACGAACCACAAGAAGAACGAAACGAACGAUAUGACGUCACCUUAUAGCCUAAAGCGUUAAAAUUCACUCAACCCGCGACUCACCAAUAAACCGCAACCCACCAUUUCACAAAACCCGCCCAAUCCCUUCCCCUCCCGCCCCUCCCUCCCCCCCUCCCCUUCCUCUACCCUGAUCCAAACAAGCGUAUGUAGAUUUCUGAUAACUUUGAUUGUUUGGUUGAUUUCCUCCACACGACGUUGGGGCUCGAAGUGGGGUGCGGUGGUGGACAGUUUGCCACCACACCGACGUAAGAAAAUGAUGUUGAAAGCAGUAUACGAGAAGUAGGAAAAAAAAGAGAAAAUGGGAGAGAGAGGAGGAAAGUGAGAGAUUAUAGUUUGCAUUAUGAGCUAAUAUAAAUGCUUGAUAGUUUAAAAAAGUCGCUAUCCAGGCUUAUAUAAUUUUUCUUUCGUGCUUUCGUUAGUGCCAAAAAUACUAAGAAAAAAAUGAUAGUGGUGAGAGAGAGAGAGAGAGAGAGAGAGAGAGCGUCUUGGUCUCAUUAUGUGCUUCAGUAUCAUACCUCUUCUUUCAUCAACGGCAAGAGUGUUCUAAAAAGUAAACUAGGGUACAGUGCACUUAAUCCAGCAAAAAAAAAAAAGCUUGAUAAUUUGAAAGGUAUAGUAUUUGACAUGCCUCAUAUUUUUUUCUUUUUUUCUUCUUUCAUCAACGGCAAAAGUGUUCUAAAAAGUAAACCAGGGUACAGUGCACUUGAUCCAGCAAAAAAAAAAAAGCUUGAUAAUUUGAAAGGUAUAGUAUUUGACAUGCCCCAUAUUUUUUUCUUUUUUUCUUCUUUCAUCAACGGCAAGUGUUCUAAAAAGUAAACCAGGCCAGUAACACGUUAAGUCACUCUCUCUCAAGUACACUGUUUACAUUUUUUCCCUUGCGUGGCCUUGCUCAGCUGGCGCGCGCGAGUCUAUUUAUACCACACCACACUUUUUAUUUUAUACCCGCGGCCGGCCUCUCUCUGAUCCAAUGUUUUUAGUUUUGUUUCAUUGCCGGGAGUUGCACCUUUGAAAUGAGAGAGUUUUUACGUGUUCUUUAUCAGCAGCGCGCCUCGUGCCAAGCCUUGAGGUUGAGCCGUUUGAGACGCUGCUGCCGAACUGCUUUGCCCAACCUCUGAUGAAACGGUUGCGUCAUAAGCGGAAAAUCUUGCAAAAUGAAGGAGUACUUUAUUGGUGGCUGUACAAGUGGGUGCCAUCUAACCAAUAACGUUCCCGGAUGUGCGAUAAUUAUUCUGAAAUGCGAGAAUUGAAACAGCCUCAAGACCGACCCGUCAGUUUAACCUCUCCACUCUCGAAAAGCAUAUCAAUAAUCAAGAUUCUGUCGAUAAUUAAGUCUGAUUUAGUACUGUUAUUUGCGUGGAUGCGAUAGUUUUAGGUUCGAAGGAUAUAACUGCAGUGUGCCGAGUACGAUAAUCCGGUGACGCUGAUGGCAACUCGAAAAUGCAUGUGUAGUACAUUUUCCUCGCCCCCAAAAAUAUCAGCCACCGCACGAGUCUCAGGCAAAGAGAAUGAACGAAAGGUUAAGAGAAUAGACAAUGCGAACUGUAAAUGGCGUAGGUGUGAUAUACUUUAGUCAGCUGUCAUAUUACUUCAAGUCGUGACGAAUAGGGUUUACUUUCUUGGCUGUUACAACGUGUGCGGGCCUAGAAAUCACGAAUGUCACGCUCGUAGACACGCCUGCCAACACUCACGCCUCUCGACGCUGCCAGGUAUUUUGAUCUCGAGUCACCGUCCACACACUUUGAACCUCGAAAUGAAUAUAGUAUGAUCAAGAGCUGGUGUCUGAUGCCGAGAAGGAAACGCAGAGACUAAUACCGGUAAUAAUGAUAAAGGAAGAAAAUGAGAAACUGUCCAUAGUAUUUCUACCUUACGACGGAGAAGAAAAUAAUUACAGGUGUGGAAAAGUGGAAAAAUGAAAACAGCCUCAAUAAUGCCACUGUUGAACUAAGAUAUAUGUAGAGAAGUAAGGUGAAAAGAAAAAUGAUAAAUAUGUAAUGACCUUAUAUCCAGAUUCUUUCCACUAACGAACAGGGAAGAAAAAAAAUAAGGUCAAGGGAACGAUGCAAUAAAAACCCUGAAAAUAUAGAAGUAGACAGUUGUUGAUGAAGAGAAAGAGAACCAAUUAACUGCCCGGCGUAUCUUUUCUCUUCAUUUUAAAGAACAAGAAAAAGGAAAGAAAAAGGUUAAAGGGACAAAGAAGAAGGCAAGAGAGAUAGAAGAAGUCGGCAGUUGUUAAGAAGAGAAAGAGAACCAACUGCCCGGCGUAGCUUUUCUCUGCAUUUUAAAGAACAAGAAAAAGGAAAGAAAAGGGUUAAGUAAGAGAGACAGAAAUAGGCAAUUAUUAAAAGAGAAGGAUAGCAAACUGCCCGGCGUAACUUUUGUUUAUAUUUCAUUUUGAAGAAGUAAUGAAGGCAAAAUGAGCGGUCACAAAACUACAUAUAUAGGCCUACUUUUUUUUCGUGUGUGCCGCUAAGACCGACCCUGUUUCUUCCUCUCCAUCCUUCCCUUAGUGUGUUAAAUUAAGACUAAUAUUCUCACGCCCUCGACCCAUCUACGCUGUCCACAAACACGACAAAAAAAAAAAAAAAAAAAAUCACUGAAGCUCGAACGCGAUAUCUUGAAAAAGGUGGACGCGUAUGUAAACAGACAGACGGACAGACGGAUAAACGGACAGACAGACAGACAGACAGACACGUUAUUUUUUUCCUCCUUUAUUGAACAAGCUUACUGUAUUGUUCUACGUCUCUAGAUGACACUGUUACCGAGUUAUUUAUUUAUUUAUCUUCUUCUAGCUAUGAGAGAGAGAGAGAGAGAGAGAGAGAGAGAGAGAGAGAGAGAGAGAGAGAGAGAGAGAGAGAGAGAGAGAGAGAGAGAGAGAUAUGAGAGAAGAAAGAAGAGAAAGGAAGGAAGGAAGGAGAGGGGAGUGAUGAAGAGAGGUAAAUGGAGAAGCAAAAUGAGAGAGAGAGAGAGAGAGAGAGAGAGAGAGAGAGAGAGAGAGACUGAUUAGGUAUCGUGACAGCACCAGACUGUUUAGACACUGAGCAGUAGUAGUAUAUGUGUUAUCAUUGUUAUAGUUUUAUCAUUAUUAUCGGGAAUAUAUUGACCAUUAUGUUGCGGUAUUAUCAGCAUUAGUAGUAUUAGUUGAUAUAGUGAAGGUGGACUCUUCUAAGCGGCAUUUCCUAAAGAUUGUGUUAUUAUUAUUAUUUUUUCUUACGAUUCGCUGAGAGAGAGAGAGAGAGAGAGAGAGAGAGAGAGAGAGAGAGAGAGAGAGAGAGAGAGAGAGAGAGAGAGAGAAGUUCCUGCUAGCACAAUUACAAGUCCUAAGCGUUAUUGAUUUUUUUAGUUUUAAUCGGAAUUCCGUGGAAGCGUUUUAGAAGCAGCGGCUGAGGCGUGGAUCAGCAGCCUAUGCCGCCCCUAGCUGGCCGUGCUGCAUGCUGCCCUCACUCUCCGCAUGCUGAAGCCCCCCCCAGACCCUCCUACACGCUCCCCUUCUGCUGCUCUCCCUUCCUGUAACGCAACUCUGGCUAGCGUUAGAAUCAUCCCCAAGUUGCCAUUUGCUUUAGUUUACCUUCAAAUCUCUUCAUCUGUUUAUAUUUCUUUAUCUUUUCCCUUUUCCUCUUUGCUGCCUCGUCUAUGAAUUCUGUCAGAGAGCUUUAGAUUCAUGUUUUUUUAAUCUCGUGUGUUGCCUAUAGCGCCGGUAGGUUGUCUAGAGGAGCUUGGUUGAUGGCCCCAGCUAGGUAGUGGGUCGGGCGAAUUUGAUUUAUAGUGGGUUCCGUGUAUCACCCACAGUCCUAGCACAGCAACAGCAGGAGUAGGAGCAGCAAUAGAAUGGGGUGGUUAGGAUUGGUCCGGUGGUGUUCCUCUGAGCGGGUCGCAUUGCUAGGCUACUUAACACACAUUGGCUUGAAGCGCGUGACGGCGACUGACUUGGGCCAUUUCUCAGACGUUUUCGGCACUCACAACAACUGUUUCCAAAGGCCACAAAGGAGGGUGGUCGGGUUCUUAGGAGUGUUUUUUCACUUUCACGGUGCAGAAGCCUCAUCAAACUAUCACUAAGCUCAUGAAACUACCCACGCAAAGACCCACAACAACCUCGACGAAAGCCUUACUGAAUGUGGAUGUGUAAGCCGCGAAAUGUUUGAAAAUAUGGUCCUGGCCGAAUUUUCAAACCCUCUCGCCUCUCACAAACUCUUUCCAAAGGCCACAAAAGAGACUGGUCAGGUUAUCAGGAGUGCUUUUACAUAUUCACGGUGCAGAAGCCUUGUCAAACUAUCACUAAGCUCAUGAAACUACCCCUGAAAAGACCCACAAUAGCCUCGACGAAAGCCUUAUUGAAUGUGGAUGUGUGAGCCUCGAAAUGAUUGAGAAUAUGGUCCUGGCCGAAUUCUCAAACGUUCUCGCCCCUCACAACAGCUCUUUUCACAGGCCACAAAAGAGACAGGUCAGGUUCUCAGGAGUGCUUUUACAUAUUCACGGUGCAGAAGCCUUGUCAAACUAUCACUAAGCUCAUGAAACUACCCCUGAAAAGACCCGCAGCCUCUGAGAAAGCCAUGAGAAAUUUUCAAACGCUCUCGCCUCUCACAGACUAUUUCCAAAGGCCAUAAAAGAGACAGGUCAGAUUCUCAGGAGUGCUUUUACAUAUUCACGGUGCAGAAACCUUGUCAAACUAUCACUAGGCUCAUAGAACUACCCAUGGAAAGACAAACAAGAACCUCGACGAAAGCCUUAUCGAAUGUAUGUGCGUGUGAGCGCCGAAACGUUUGAGAAGAUGGCCUCCGUGUCGCCCCACCGAAGCCUACGUCUAGUGCGUCCUGCUACACCCCCUGGCGGCGACCUUGAACAACGCUGCUUGGGCUCAACGUUGCCAGAUUAUCUUACUCUCUAGUCCUGUUUGUUAUUUUUCCCGUCCCUUUCCCUUUUUCUGUCCUUUUUCUUCCUUUCCUUCCUUUUUCUGUCAUUUUUCGUUCCUCUUGAGUUCUGUUUAUCUUUUUCCCGUCCCUUUUCUUCCCUCCCUUUCCCUUUUUCUGUCCUUUUUUCUUCCUUUCCUUCCUUUUUCUGUCAUUUUUCGUUCCUCUUUAGUUCUGUUUAUCUUUUUCCCGUCCAUUUUCUUCCCUCCCUUUCCCUUUUCCUUUUCUUUUCCUCCAAUGUCUUUCCCCCUCGCUCUGUUCAUUCUCCUCCCCGCCCUUUUAAUUUCUCUCCCCUUGUUUCUCCCCUAGUUCUGUUCUCCCCUCCCCCGUCCGUUUUCCUCCCUCUCCCCAUUCUGUUUCUUCUCUCUCCCCCUUUUUUUUUUCUCUCCCCAGCCAGCCCUGUGUUCCUUCCCUCCCCCGUCCCUUCCAAGGAUAAAGAAUUCGGUGGUUGGCCUUUUAAGAACCGUUUGAUAUGUGAGCGAGCGAUUUCGAUAUUCGUAAAAAAAUAGAGACGUAUAAAUAUUCUUGAGUUUGAGGGAAAUAUUGAAGGAUUGCUUUUAUUUAUUUAUUUAUUUAUUUAUUAUUAUUAUUAUUAUUAUUAUUAUUAUUAUUAUUAUUAUGAAGUAGUGUCUCAUGGCUUCAUUCUUUUUUAAUUAUGAAAGUGUUAUUAUUAUUGUUUAUUUAUUAUUAUUAUCAUUAUUUAUGCUCGUUUAAUUAUGAAUACCGUGAAUAAGUUUGCGUUUUUUUCUUUUUCUCUCACAAAAUUUAAAAGGAUAUUAAUUUCUCGUAUAAAAGUCUCUAAAAAAUAAACAUUCUUCCCUUCGUAUUAAUUCUUAAGUAAUUUACCACACAGUUACACGUCCCUCGCCGCCCACAGAGUCGAUUAUACAACGUGCGUCCAGGGUAUCGCUUUUUAAUUAACCUGAUUUUUGUUGUAUCGAUCCCGUGAGUAAUUAUAGUAAAUUGAGAGGCGAGGGGUGACCCAAUCUGGCCUGACGCUCCCCCCCUUCCCCUGGCCCCUCUGUUCCUACCCCCUACCACCACGACCCCCCUAUUCCUCCCUUUGAUACGCCCCUUCCCUUCUAUCAAUGACAAUUUAUGUAAUCUUCCUCGGCCCCGCCAAUUCUUAUUCUUAUUAUUACUCACCAUCAUUACCUGUUCUCUUUCUUCGCCAGGUAAAUGGAUUGACUACAGCGUUGGGCGGGAAAAAGGGAUGUUGUGCGAGAGAAAAAAGGGAUGUUGGGCGGGAAAAAGAAGUUGGGCUAUCUCUCCUGCCUUCACCGCCGCCUUCCAGCCCAAACCGCGGGAGGUAUUCAUACACUGGGCGGGUUUUGUGGCCAUCGCUGUGCCCCUGACCCGUCCUGUCCUAUACUACCCGACCCGAGUGAGUACUUUUGAUUCGGUUUAGUCCCUGUUUUAGUAUUACUCCAAAUCAACCCUUAUAUAUAGAUCCCCCUUUUACCCUUUUUUUUCCCUUUUUCAUCUUUACGUUAAGAAAAAAAUACACCCCAUAGGUUUUUAUUGGAUGCCUUUUCACUAAUUUUUCGCCUUCAUUUAUUUUGUUCCCAUUUUAUUGUCUCUUGAAACCUCCAUCCCACCCUCUAUUGUCCUUAUUCUUUUUAUCUCCGUUUUCAACAUUACUCACAGGAAAAGAAAAAUCCAUCCCGUAGGCUUGACUUUGGAUCCUUUUGCAAUAGUUCAUCUUCGUUAGUUUCAUUCUUUUUCAUGGUCAUUCCAAUCCUCCUUCAACCGACACCCACAGACUCCAAUCCCUCCCUAUUCGCUCACAAACCUAAGCUAAUCUCAAAUGGCUUUAUAAAUUCGCAUACAAUUAAUAUUUAACUUUAUUUUUUAGUUAAUCCAAAAGUAAAUUCACUCUUUUCUUGUUUGUCACGAUCAUGAGGAACUUCAGAACCCUUUAGCUUUGUUAUUAUACUUCUGUCGCGUUUGUCAUAGUUUCCCUGAUAACGAAUAGUGAGCGGUUACGUUUUCCUUUACAGUCACAAAUUCUACGGUAACCCCCUAGAGCGUUUCAAUACAAAGGCCCAUAUCCUCAGACACUUUCAGCUCUCACAACAAACAUUUUCAAGAGCCCACAAAGGAGAUCAGUCGGGUUUUCAUGCGCUUUUCACAUUCACGGUGCAGAAGAAGCCUCAUCAAACUAUCACUAGGCUCAUAAAACUACCGAUUGGAAAUACUAAGACAGCAACCUCUACGAAAGCCUUAUUGAAUGCUGGUGUGAGUGUUUGUAAGCCCCGAAGUGUUUAAGAAUAUGGACUUAACUCUUCGUCUCUUCGCCUGUAAGCCCCGAAGUGUUUAAGAAUAUGGACUAAACUCUUCGUCUCUUCGCCUGUAAGCCCCGAAGUGUUUAAGAAUAUGAACUUAACUCUUCGUCUCUUCGCCUGUAAGCCCCGAAGCGUUUGAGAAUAUGGACUUAACUCUUCGUCUCUUCACCUGUAAGCCCCGAAGUGUUUAAGAAUAUGGACUUAACUCUUCGUCUCUUCGCCUGUAAGCCCCGAAGUGUUUAAGAAUAUGGACUAAACUCUUCGUCUCUUCGCCUGUAAGCCCCGAAGUGUUUGAGAAUAUGGACUUAACUCUUCGCCUGGUUUGAUUGAUCUUGGGACAAAGCUUUAAGGGGAGGAGGUAGUGCUUAGCCUCACUUCAGUCUGCUAUCAUUUCCUAUUCUCGUGUGACCUUUCCAAGCUUCCGUGACUCAUAACCUCCAUCGUUCGCGGUCCUAGUAAGAGAAAGCAUUAUGACAUCAUCCAAAUUCCGCCUGAUUCAUCCUUCUAUUUUUGUUUUUAUUAUUUUUUAUUCAUAUCGUUGUAGCUGUUUUCUUCACUUUUCUUGUUUGUAUAUUCGAGCGUCCUUUUUCUUGGCUGUUAUUUGUUUGUUUAAGGAGAAUUGUCACCGUUUUCUUUUUAUACAAGUUCCUUUGAGAUAAAAAAAAUAAUCGACGCCUCUCGUUCAUUAGGGGGACUUCGAUAAACUAUGAGGAACCACUUAAAACUAAAACCCUGAAUCAAGAACAACAACAACAACAAUAACAACAACAUCAACAUCAUCAUCAUCAUCGUCAUCAUCAACAACACAGCAACACACACACACACACACACACACACACACACACACACACGCACACACACACAUUCUCGACAGGUAAUGAAAAAACUUUGAUUAUUUUUCUCUGGUGAACUAAGAAAAUAUAUUACAAAGAUUCUAACACUCCUUCCUUCCUUCCUUCCUUCCCCUCCUUCUCCUCCUCCUCCUCUUCUUCUUCCUCCUCCUCCUCCUCUUCGUCUUUUUACAACACUCAAGUUAUUGCAUUGUUUGGGUAUUCUGUAUUUCGAGAGAUAGAAAGAGAGAGAGAAAGAGAGAUGGAGAGAGCAGGAGGGAGAAUGACUUGGAUUAUCUACACACACACACACACACACACACACACACACACACACACACACACACACACACACACACACACACACA
This is a long non-coding RNA of Eriocheir sinensis (Chinese mitten crab), 11446 nucleotides long. RefSeq lists it as uncharacterized. The transcript has 2 exons. Lineage: Eukaryota; Metazoa; Arthropoda; Malacostraca; Decapoda; Varunidae. The record is from RefSeq and is a predicted model, not a curated record.